GGCGAGUAUCGUAUAACGGUUAAUAUGUCAAACUUCCAAUUUGAAGAUGCGGGUUCGAUUCCUGCUACUUGUA
Molecule: transfer RNA, 73 nt
Filed under: Puccinia triticina
Lineage: Eukaryota; Fungi; Basidiomycota; Pucciniomycetes; Pucciniales; Pucciniaceae
Description: tRNA-Gly
Rfam family: tRNA
About the family: Transfer RNA (tRNA) molecules are approximately 80 nucleotides in length. Their secondary structure includes four short double-helical elements and three loops (D, anti-codon, and T loops). Further hydrogen bonds mediate the characteristic L-shaped molecular structure. tRNAs have two regions of fundamental functional importance: the anti-codon, which is responsible for specific mRNA codon recognition, and the 3' end, to which the tRNAs corresponding amino acid is attached (by aminoacyl-tRNA synthetases). tRNAs cope with the degeneracy of the genetic code in two manners: having more than one tRNA (with a specific anti-codon) for a particular amino acid; and 'wobble' base-pairing, i.e. permitting non-standard base-pairing at the 3rd anti-codon position.
Source: RNAcentral